Molecule: ribosomal RNA, 484 nt
Filed under: uncultured bacterium
Lineage: Bacteria
Description: partial 16S ribosomal RNA
Rfam family: Bacterial small subunit ribosomal RNA
Source: RNAcentral
AUUGAACGCUGGCGGCAGGCCUAACACAUACAAGUCGAGCGGAUGAAGGGAGCUUGCUCCUGGAUUCAGCGGCGGACGGGUGAGUAAUGCCUAGGAAUCUGCCUGGUAGUGGGGGAUAACGUCCGGAAACGGGCGCUAAUACCGCAUACGUCCUGAGGGAGAAAGUGGGGGAUCUUCGGACCUCACGCUAUCAGAUGAGCCUAGGUCGGAUUAGCUAGUUGGUGGGGUAAAGGCCUACCAAGGCGACGAUCCGUAACUGGUCUGAGAGGAUGAUCAGUCACACUGGAACUGAGACACGGUCCAGACUCCUACGGGAGGCAGCAGUGGGGAAUAUUGGACAAUGGGCGAAAGCAUGAUCCAGCCAUGCCGCGUGUGUGAAGAAGGUCUUCGGAUUGUAAAGCACUUUAAGUUGGGAGGAAGGGCAGUAAGUUAAUACCUUGCUGUUUUGACGUUACCAACAGAAUAAGCACCGGCUAACUUCGUG